CCUACGGGAGGCAGCAGUGAGGAAUAUUGGUCAAUGGUCGGGAGACUGAACCAGCCAAGCCGCGGGAGGGAGGAAAGUACAGAGUAUCGUAAAACUCUUUUGUCAGGGAACAAAGACUGGGACGCCUCCCCGGAUGAGUGUACCUGAAGACAAAGCAUCGGCUAAAUCCGUGCCCGCAUCCGCGGUAAGACGGAGGAUGCGAUCGUUAUCCGGAUUUAUUGGGUUUAAAGGGAGCGUAGAAGGGUUGGUAAGUCAGCUGUGAAAGUUUGCGGCUCAACCGUAAAAUUGCAAUUGAUACUGGCAGUCUUGAGUACAGUUGAGGUAGGCGGAAUUCGUGGUGUAGCGGUGAAAUGCUUAGAUAUCACGAAGAACUCCGAUUGCGAAGGCAGCUUACUAAACUGCCACUGACAUUGAUGCUCGAAAGUGUGGGUAUCAAACAGGAUUAGAUACCCUAGUAGUC
This 460-nucleotide ribosomal RNA is filed under the name uncultured bacterium. RNAcentral's name for it is "partial 16S ribosomal RNA". It matches the Rfam family "Bacterial small subunit ribosomal RNA", at positions 338 to 795 of the family's 1533-position model. The record is from RNAcentral.